RNAcentral lists this ribosomal RNA (1511 nucleotides) under Salmonella enterica. RNAcentral's name for it is "partial 23S ribosomal RNA". It matches the Rfam family "Bacterial large subunit ribosomal RNA", at positions 724 to 2215 of the family's 2925-position model. The record is from RNAcentral. Lineage: Bacteria; Pseudomonadati; Pseudomonadota; Gammaproteobacteria; Enterobacterales; Enterobacteriaceae.
GGUGAUCUAGCCAUGGGCAGGUUGAAGGUUGGGUAACACUAACUGGAGGACCGAACCGACUAAUGUUGAAAAAUUAGCGGAUGACCUGUGGCUGGGGGUGAAAGGCCAAUCAAACCGGGAGAUAGCUGGUUCUCCCCGAAAGCUAUUUAGGUAGCGCCUCGUGAAUUCAUCUCCGGGGGUAGAGCACUGUUUCGGCUAGGGGGUCAUCCCGACUUACCAACCCGAUGCAAACUGCGAAUACCGGAGAAUGUUAUCACGGGAGACACACGGCGGGUGCUAACGUCCGUCGUGAAGAGGGAAACAACCCAGACCGCCAGCUAAGGUCCCAAAGUCAUGGUUAAGUGGGAAACGAUGUGGGAAGGCCCAGACAGCCAGGAUGUUGGCUUAGAAGCAGCCAUCAUUUAAAGAAAGCGUAAUAGCUCACUGGUCGAGUCGGCCUGCGCGGAAGAUGUAACGGGGCUAAACCAUGCACCGAAGCUGCGGCAGCGACACUCAGGUGUUGUUGGGUAGGGGAGCGUUCUGUAAGCCUGCGAAGGUGGCCUGUGAGGGUUGCUGGAGGUAUCAGAAGUGCGAAUGCUGACAUAAGUAACGAUAAAGCGGGUGAAAAGCCCGCUCGCCGGAAGACCAAGGGUUCCUGUCCAACGUUAAUCGGGGCAGGGUGAGUCGACCCCUAAGGCGAGGCCGAAAGGCGUAGUCGAUGGGAAACGGGUUAAUAUUCCCGUACUUGGUGUUACUGCGAAGGGGGGACGGAGAAGGCUAUGUUGGCCGGGCGACGGUUGUCCCGGUUUAAGCGUGUAGGUGUGUGUUCCAGGUAAAUCCGGUUCACUUUAACACUGAGGCGUGAUGACGAGGCACUACGGUGCUGAAGCAACAAAUGCCCUGCUUCCAGGAAAAGCCUCUAAGCAUCAGGUAACAUCAAAUCGUACCCCAAACCGACACAGGUGGUCAGGUAGAGAAUACCAAGGCGCUUGAGAGAACUCGGGUGAAGGAACUAGGCAAAAUGGUGCCGUAACUUCGGGAGAAGGCACGCUGACACGUAGGUGAAGUGAUUUACUCAUGGAGCUGAAGUCAGUCGAAGAUACCAGCUGGCUGCAACUGUUUAUUAAAAACACAGCACUGUGCAAACACGAAAGUGGACGUAUACGGUGUGACGCCUGCCCGGUGCCGGAAGGUUAAUUGAUGGGGUCAGCGCAAGCGAAGCUCCUGAUCGAAGCCCCGGUAAACGGCGGCCGUAACUAUAACGGUCCUAAGGUAGCGAAAUUCCUUGUCGGGUAAGUUCCGACCUGCACGAAUGGCGUAAUGAUGGCCAGGCUGUCUCCACCCGAGACUCAGUGAAAUUGAACUCGCUGUGAAGAUGCAGUGUACCCGCGGCAAGACGGAAAGACCCCGUGAACCUUUACUAUAGCUUGACACUGAACAUUGAGCCUUGAUGUGUAGGAUAGGUGGGAGGCUUUGAAGCGUGGACGCCAGUCUGCGUGGAGCCGACCUUGAAAUACCACCCUUUAAUGUUU